RNAcentral lists this ribosomal RNA (726 nucleotides) under uncultured Actinomycetes bacterium. Its description in RNAcentral is "bacterial SSU rRNA". It matches the Rfam family "Bacterial small subunit ribosomal RNA", at positions 37 to 776 of the family's 1533-position model. Lineage: Bacteria; Bacillati; Actinomycetota; Actinomycetes. The record is from RNAcentral.
UGGCGGCGUGCUUACACAUGCAAGUCGAACGGAAAGGCUCCAGCUUGCUGGAGUACUCGAGUGGCGAACGGGUGAGUAACACGUGGGCAAUCUGCCCUGCACUCUGGGAUAAGCCUGGGAAACUGGGUCUAAUACUGGAUAGGACCUUUCUCCUCAUGGGGUUUGGUGGAAAGUUUUUCGGUGCAGGAUGAGCCCGCGGCCUAUCAGCUUGUUGGUGGGGUAAUGGCCUACCAAGGCGACGACGGGUAGCCGGCCUGAGAGGGUGAUCGGCCACAUUGGGACUGAGAUACGGCCCAGACUCCUACGGGAGGCAGCAGUGGGGAAUAUUGCACAAUGGGCGGAAGCCUGAUGCAGCGACGCCGCGUGAGGGAUGACGGCCUUCGGGUUGUAAACCUCUUUCAGUAGGGACGAAGCGUAAGUGACGGUACCUGCAGAAGAAGCACCGGCUAACUACGUGCCAGCAGCCGCGGUAAUACGUAGGGUGCGAGCGUUGUCCGGAAUUACUGGGCGUAAAGAGCUCGUAGGCGGUUUGUCACGUCGUCUGUGAAAUCCUAGGGCUUAACCCUGGACGUGCAGGCGAUACGGGCUGACUUGAGUACUACAGGGGAGACUGGAAUUUCUGGUGUAGCGGUGGAAUGCACAGAUAUCAGGAAGAACACCGAUGGCGAAGGCAGGUCUCUGGGUAGUAACUGACGCUGAGGAGCGAAAGCAUGGGUAGCGAACAGG